ACUAACCAAACAUGAGAAAGAAAUUCAAAAUCUACUUGUUUUUUAAGAAAACAUUUUCUAGGAAAAUAUUUUCCAUGGAAAACAUUUUCCUUCAUACCAAACACACCCUAUGUUUGAUAUCAUUUUCUUGUAGAAACUCGAUUGCUCCCCUUUUAAAAUGUAAUGAUCUUUUCCUAUUUUGACGUGAAUACUUGUGCUUUCCCAAAGCUGUAAGUUAAGUUAGUUUAAAUUUGAAAUGUUUAAUUCUCUCAAACUUUUGCAUUAAUUGUACAUAGCGUAAUUUUCCUUCCAUUUCAUCAUUGAAUCUUUGUUUGUUUCAAUUAGAAUUGAACAUGAGGAACUUAGUGUACUCAUCUAACUUAUCUAGUAACAUUUGUUUUUUUCUAAUCCUCUUCUUUUAUUUAUUUCACAUGUACACUCGGGAGCGCGUUUGGACUUAGUAUAUAACUCCAUCUCUGUCCAAAUCAGAGAAGAUUUUCAGAUAUGUCAAGGGAUUCAGAAAACAAGGUACGUACAUAUAAAUAACAUACGCAAAAAUGGUAUAAAUUCUAUAUUUUAGUUGUUUCUCAUAGAUAACUUAUUAUUUUCACAUUAAUUUUCUCAUAUACACUAUCACUUUAACAGAUGAUACUUAUUUUAUUUUUGUAAUUUAUAAAUUUGUACACUCUAAUAUACACAUUAUUUUACCAUAUAUUCAUAGCCAACAAUUAUCUUAUUUGUUUUAUUUUCCUUUACAUCUCACUUCUAUAUAUAAAUAAAACGACAAAUUUUUAUAUCUCUUAAACUCAACAUUAUUUAGAUACAAAUUUCUAUACUUGUCAACAUAUAAAUUUAUCAUACAUAUUAGUACGUUUAUUUAUUUAUUUAUUUAUUUUACAGUGUGAUAAACAUACUAAUAUUAUUUUCUAUAAUGGACUUCUAUAUGUCGUACCUUAUGUUUUACUCUUUUCCUAAAACUAAUAAAAUUUACUCACAAUUCAUUUUAAAGCGAAUAAAAAGUUUUCCUUAUUAUAUUUUCCUAAAUUGAGUUUAAGGACUAUCUUCAAAUAGGCGCUGAGGGGUGCUUAACACCUUCCCCACGAGUAACCAAAACCCUUACUCAGAAUCUCACUGGUUUUUCAAAUAAAAAACAGAGUUUACAUUUAUAUAAAAAAUGGUUUUCCUAAUAUUUUCCUCAAAAUUUAGGUGUCGACUCUAAAACAAACAAUUUUUCAAAAGUCAGAGUGUCAGUCAUUUUAUGUUGUGAACUGUUUUCGACUUGUUCGAAAAUAGAGUGCGACAAUCUAGAUAUGCUCCAUCCUUAGUGUCUAACCCUAGCGAUGAGAUGAGUAGGAUUGUGAUCGGGGGUCGCCGACCUAGUGAUAGAAUAAUGUCGUACAGCCAUGUUGUAUGAUGAUAUGACCCUAUCUAGACUCAUGGUUUAUACUCAAUCAAUUGAGGAGUCUAAACAUGGUAGGAUUACUAGAAACUUGUAAAGAAGUGGUUCAAGUGAUCAAAGUCAACCUAGGUUCAAGAAGAAGGUUUCAACUCAAGAUAAACCUAGGAGUGCUAAGGUGAAAUUUGAAAAGAUAGGUGAUUCUUAAAAUGGCAAGCCUACAUGUGCUACUUGUAGAAAGAGGCACUAUGGGGAAUGCCUAUUGGGUACCGCGGGUGGUUUUGGAUGUGGUAAAGAUUGACACAAAGUGAGGGUUUGUCCUACUAGAAAUUGUAAGCAAGUUGGUCCUAAUGCUCCGAAAGGUGAUGCUCCAAAGAAGAAUCGUUUCUAUGCACUACGGACUAAAGGAGCAAAGCCGGAUGAGGGUGAUGAUGAUGGUAAGUUCUUGUAUUUCUUUAGGGUUAUGAGUUCCUUCUAUGUGGGGGACUAUAGUUAGUAGAUGGGCUAGAUUGUUAUAGAAGAAUGUUGUAUGUGCAUAAUGUUUAGGUGUCUUGUUGGAAUUGAAUUUGCAGUGAUUCCUAGCAUUGUGCAUUUCAUGAUGUUACUAUUAUGUUGUAAGAUGUGUUUAUAUGGUUUUAUCUUUCAUAUUAGCAUGUUUCGAUAAUCAAUUACCUAAAAUUUGCAUUUUUGAAUAAUGUGCCAUAAUUCACUGUAAAGCUACCAGUUCACUGUAACAUUUUUGAGAAAUUAACUAAAUCAUUCUUUGGUUGAAAAUUGUUGUAAUGUGGUUAGAACUAAAGUAUAUGAACAUGAUGGUGAAUAUAAAAGGAUUUUGUGCUAUUUGGAAUGAAGAAUGUGAGUCUUAUGGCAUAAUGAGUUGUAUAAUUUCUUUUAGCUUCUUGUUGUGUUGUGAAUCACCUAAUUAUGUCAAAUUGAUAUUUCUUAUAGUUGUUUGUAUUGUAUAAUGUGUUUUAUGGUAUGGUUAUGAGUUUCUAGUUGAAUCUCUUGGAAGUGUUCGUAGAGUGACAAGUGUCAUUCGUGGAUGAAUAUUGUCCAAGUGGGGGAGAUUGUUAUACCUCUUAAACGACCUAGGAGAAAAUAUAGUCUAAUAUGUUUUAUCAUGAGGGUAAGGUCCUAAAAUGGUUUAUAAUGUGGUAAUGAGGUAGUGUCUAAAGUAUUAGGUGAAUUGAAAGUCAAACAUCAAGGGACGACCAAGACGUUCGACUACUAGUCACUUACGUGCCUCAUGUGUGUUUUAUGUGUUUAUGAGUGUUUAAUGAGCUUAAAAGAUCCUUAUAUGAGUUAUUAUAAUGUUAUAGGCGGUGUGUGGAGUUUCAUGAAGUUUGGAGGUCAAACAUCCAUGACAUUCGAAAGGUUUGCCUUAAAACGACUUGUGCGUCUCAACAUGUUUGGUCGAGUUUUAUGUGUUCUUUUUUUGAUGAAAUUGAUGUGAGGGGUCCUAGCUCGUAUACAAUCAUAUUUGGUUUGGAAAUAUCCCGGAAAACAUCCCCAAAAACCAACCAAGGGUCCUUGAGGAAGGACACGUCUUUGAUCCAAAGGCUGUCAAGACCAGCCCCAAUCGACUAAGGCGAUCAACGACCUGUAGGCUAGUAUCCCCGUCAUUGGAAGGCGUCCGUCAAAACGUAGCCAGGGAGCUCAAGCUCCCAAUGGACAGUCUCAGUGCAAAAUGACAGCCAGCCAGGACGGUCCAUUUACCGUUUGAUGCCCCGUCGGUGAGCUUCGUCAAUGGUGAAUUGGUAAAUUCACCCUACGCCAAAUAAGAGUUUGGGAGGUUUACUAAGGGUAUUAGGUAUUUUAAGCGGGUUUAUAAGUCCUAAUUACCAAGAUGAACUCAUUCUUCAAAAAUCAAAAUCCCAAUUCUCAAGAACUACAUUGAAGCUAAAACUCAAGGAAGAUCUUGGAUUGAAGAUUUGAUUGGUUAUUCUAAUAAAUUUCGUAGUUUAUCUUCAUUGAGGUAUGGUUUUUAAUCCAUGAAACUCUAUUCAUAAAGGAGCCCAAAAUUCAAAGAGAUUUCUAAAGUUUUCUAAAGAUGAACUUGUCCAAUUUUAACAUAUAUCCUUGGGUUUGUGCAUUAAAGGCUUUAAAUCAUUGUAUAUUUAUUAAAUUGUUGUUAAUUAUAUGAUUUUAACAUAAUUAACCUAUGAACCCAUGUAAUUCAUGAUCCCUAGUUUUCUCUACUUUAAGGUUGACUUGAUAUUGUCUUAAUGCUUUUGUGAAUUCUUGUGUAGUUUUCUAUGGGAUACUGAAUGAUGAAAGAAUUGUAUUCAGUUGAUGUAUAGGCUGUCUUAGAUUGAUAAAUCUAUAUUGAAUUGACUUAUAUUCAUGGAGUAUUAUGGAUUUUGUAUUGGAUUGAUGAUCAUGGCCAUGGGUAAGGGCCUUUUAGUAUUGAAUUGGAUGAGUUACCUAUGGAUGAAGUAAUGAGAAUGGAUUGGUGGUACUCUGCCCUAA
Molecule: non-coding RNA, 3844 nt
Organism: Solanum lycopersicum (tomato)
Lineage: Eukaryota; Viridiplantae; Streptophyta; Magnoliopsida; Solanales; Solanaceae
Source: RefSeq, a predicted model, not a curated record